Molecule: ribosomal RNA, 1468 nt
Filed under: Nostoc commune EV1-KK1
Lineage: Bacteria; Bacillati; Cyanobacteriota; Cyanophyceae; Nostocales; Nostocaceae
Description: bacterial SSU rRNA
Rfam family: Bacterial small subunit ribosomal RNA
Source: RNAcentral
GAUGAACGCUGGCGGUAUGCAUAACACAUGCAAGUCGAACGAAGCCUUUCGGGGCUUAGUGGCGGACGGGUGAGUAACGCGUGAGAAUCUGGCCUUAGGUCUGGGACAACCACUGGAAACGGUGGCUAAUACCGGAUGUGCCCGUAAUUGGGUGAAAGGUUAACUGCCUGAAGAUGAGCUCGCGUCUGAUUAGCUAGUAGGUAGUGUAAUGGACUACCUAGGCGACGAUCAGUAGCUGGUCUGAGAGGACGAUCAGCCACACUGGGACUGAGACACGGCCCAGACUCCUACGGGAGGCAGCAGUGGGGAAUUUUCCGCAAUGGGCGAAAGCCUGACGGAGCAAUACCGCGUGAGGGAGGAAGGCUCUUGGGUCGUAAACCUCUUUUCUCAGGGAAGAACACAAUGACGGUACCUGAGGAAUAAGCAUCGGCUAACUCCGUGCCAGCAGCCGCGGUAAUACGGAGGAUGCAAGCGUUAUCCGGAAUGAUUGGGCGUAAAGCGUCCGCAGGUGGCGAUGUAAGUCUGCUGUUAAAGAGUCUAGCUCAACUAGAUAAGAGCAGUGGAAACUACAUAGCUAGAGUACGUUCGGGGCAGAGGGAAUUCCUGGUGUAGCGGUGAAAUGCGUAGAGAUCAGGAAGAACACCAGUGGCGAAGGCGCUCUGCUAGGCCGUAACUGACACUGAGGGACGAAAGCUAGGGGAGCGAAUGGGAUUAGAUACCCCAGUAGUCCUAGCCGUAAACGAUGGAUACUAGGCGUGGCUUGUAUCGACCCGAGCCGUGCCGUAGCUAACGCGUUAAGUAUCCCGCCUGGGGAGUACGCCGGCAACGGUGAAACUCAAAGGAAUUGACGGGGGCCCGCACAAGCGGUGGAGUAUGUGGUUUAAUUCGAUGCAACGCAAAGAACCUUACCAAGGCUUGACAUGUCGCGAAUCCUGGUGAAAGCCGGGAGUGCCUUCGGGAGCGCGAACACAGGUGGUGCAUGGCUGUCGUCAGCUCGUGUCGUGAGAUGUUGGGUUAAGUCCCGCAACGAGCGCAACCCUCGUUUUUAGUUGCCAGCAUUAAGUUGGGCACUCUAGAGAGACUGCCGGUGACAAACCGGAGGAAGGUGGGGAUGACGUCAAGUCAGCAUGCCCCUUACGCCUUGGGCUACACACGUACUACAAUGCUCCGGACAGAGGGCAGCAAGCAUGCGAAUGCAAGCAAAUCCCGGAAACCGGAGCUCAGUUCAGAUCGCAGGCUGCAACUCGCCUGCGUGAAGGAGGAAUCGGUAGUAAUUGCAGGUCAGCAUACUGCAGUGAAUUCGUUCCCGGGCCUUGUACACACCGCCCGUCACACCAUGGAAGCUGGUAGUGCCCGAAGUCAUUACUCCAACCAUUCGUGGAGGAGGAUGCCUAAGGCAGGACUGGUGACUGGGGUGAAGUCGUAACAAGGUAGCCGUACCGGAAGGUGUGGGCUGGAUCACCUCCUU